RNAcentral lists this ribosomal RNA (504 nucleotides) under Triticum aestivum (bread wheat). RNAcentral describes it as "partial small subunit ribosomal RNA". The record is from RNAcentral. Lineage: Eukaryota; Viridiplantae; Streptophyta; Magnoliopsida; Poales; Poaceae.
AUGGAUCUUAGGGCCGUGAAGUUUGCUAAUAAAUUGUUUAGUAUUCAACAGAAUGCAUUUAUUAAGGGGAGACAUAUUGUGGACGGGAUACUAUCCUUGCAUGAGGUGAUGCAUUAUACUCAUGUGAAAAAAGAAGUGGGAGUGAUCUUUAAGAUCGAUUUUGAGAAAGCCUAUGACAAAGUGAAUUGGGAAUUCCUACUUGAUUGUCAUGUUAAACGUGGCUUUAACGCAAAGUGGUGUGGAUGGGUGUCGCAAAUCCUAAGGAAUGGCACGGUAAGUGUCAAGAUUAAUGACGAGACAGGUCCUUAUAUUCAGAGUGCUAAAGGGGUGCGACAAGGCGACCCACACUCUCUGUUCCUGUUCAAUCUUGCAGCAGGUUGCUUGACUAAAAUGGUUAUUGCAGCCCAGAAAAAUAAUCUCAUCAAAGGGCUGGCUUCUGGACUGAUCGAGGAAGGGGUGGGCAUCCUACAAUACGCUGACGAUACUGUCUUGUGUUUUGAACAU